UACGAAGGGGGCUAGCGUUGUUCGGAAUCACUGGGCGUAAAGGGCGCGUAGGUGGCCUGUUAAGUCGAACGUGAAAUCCCCGGGCUCAACCCGGGAACUGCGUCCGAGACUGGCAGGCUCGAAUCCGGGAGAGGGAUGUGGGAUUCCAGGUGUAGCGGUGAAAUGCGUAGAUAUCUGGAGGAACACCGGUGGCGAAGGCGGCAUCCUGGACCGGUAUUGACGCUGAGGCGCGAAAGCCAGGGGAGCAAACGGG
This 253-nucleotide ribosomal RNA is filed under the name uncultured bacterium. Its description in RNAcentral is "partial 16S ribosomal RNA". It matches the Rfam family "Bacterial small subunit ribosomal RNA", at positions 524 to 776 of the family's 1533-position model. The record is from RNAcentral.